RNAcentral lists this ribosomal RNA (727 nucleotides) under Pseudomonas fluorescens. RNAcentral's name for it is "bacterial SSU rRNA". It matches the Rfam family "Bacterial small subunit ribosomal RNA", at positions 55 to 780 of the family's 1533-position model. The record is from RNAcentral. Lineage: Bacteria; Pseudomonadati; Pseudomonadota; Gammaproteobacteria; Pseudomonadales; Pseudomonadaceae.
AUGCAGUCGAGCGGAUGACGGGAGCUUGCUCCUUGAUUCACGGCGGACGGGUGAGUAAUGCCUAUGAAUCUGCCUGGUAGUGGGGGACAACGUUUCGAAAGGAACGCUAAUACCGCAUACGUCCUACGGGAGAAAGCAGGGGACCUUCGGGCCUUGCGCUAUCAGAUGAGCCUAGGUCGGAUUAGCUAGUAGGUGAGGUAAUGGCUCACCUAGGCGACGAUCCGUAACUGGUCUGAGAGGAUGAUCAGUCACACUGGAACUGAGACACGGUCCAGACUCCUACGGGAGGCAGCAGUGGGGAAUAUUGGACAAUGGGCGAAAGCCUGAUCCAGCCAUGCCGCGUGUGUGAAGAAGGUCUUCGGAUUGUAAAGCACUUUAAGUUGGGAGGAAGGGCAGUAAGCUAAUACCUUGCUGUUUUGACGUUACCGACAGAAUAAGCACCGGCUAACUCUGUGCCAGCAGCCGCGGUAAUACAGAGGGUGCAAGCGUUAAUCGGAAUUACUGGGCGUAAAGCGCGCGUAGGUGGUUCGUUAAGUUGGAUGUGAAAGCCCCGGGCUCAACCUGGGAACUGCAUCCAAAACUGGCGAGCUAGAGUAUGGUAGAGGGUGGUGGAAUUUCCUGUGUAGCGGUGAAAUGCGUAGAUAUAGGAAGGAACACCAGUGGCGAGGCGACCACCUGCACUGAUACUGACACUGAGGUGCGAAAGCGUGGGGAGCAAACAGGAUUA